GAUGGAUCGCCAGAGGACCAGGUGUUUUCAGAGGGCCUUGUAGACACGGUGAAGGAGGCGUCUUUGAUCAUCAGUUCAGCCCAGUUUACUGGGCUAGGAUAAGGGGUUCCAAGAUCAAAAGCAUAUGUGUGCAAAAUAUCUUGAGGUCCAAGCUCAGGACUGGCACAGCAUCACUUCUGCAUUUUGUUCUCCAAAGCAAGUCCCAAAGGCAGCCAGACUCAAUGGUUGGAGAAAUCAACUCCACCGCUUGACAGGAGGAGCAACAAAUAUUUCUGGCCAGGCUUUGCAAUGUACCACAGAGCUGAAGAACAGAUAUGGAAGUCAUCAAAAUAUCAAUAACAGGUGUAGGUACAAUUUCCCAGGGAAAUGAGUAGGGUGAGAAGAGAACCCAGAGCAGAAUGUGGAACCCCAAGGUACACUAUGACACAGAUUGUAGAAGAUUCCAUGAAAUAAACAGAAGUAGCACCCAGGGAUAUAGGAGGUAACUAGAAGAUGGCUGAGUCAUAGCAAAGAAAAUGAUGUUUUAAGAAGGAAAGUGUUAUGGUUCGAAUGUGGUUUGUCCCCUCCAAAACUUAAGUUAAAAUUUAAUUGUCAAUGUAACCACAUUGGGAGGUGAGGCCUUCAAGAAGUGAUUAGGCCAGUAAGAAGAAUUAAUGUCUUUCUCACAAGACCAGGUUAGUUCUCCAGAGAGCAGGUUUUUUAUAAAGCGAGGUCAUGCCUCAUGUUUUGUCCUUUUUACAUGUACACUUCCUGUUUUGCCUCUCUGCCACAUUGUGAUGCUAUACAAGACCCUCACCAGAAGUGGACCAGAUGCAGCUGUCUGAUCUUGCACUUCCCAGCCUCCAGAAUCUAGAGCCAAAUGAACCUCUUUCUUUAUAAAUUACCCAGUCUCACGCAUUCCGUUAUAGCAACAUAAAACAAAGACUGAAGGUAUGUAAUAUAAUGCCAAGAGAAAAGUACUAAUCAGGCCAAGCACAGUUUCAGCAAGGUGUUAAAAAAAAAAAAACCCUAAUAUCUGAAUAAUGCUUAUGUAGCUUGAUAACAUUUAGAAAUUAAUUUCUGGGGUUUCUCCAGAUAUUUUCUCUUUUUCUUUCUGCUGUACUACUACUGUGUCCAUAAUUGGUUCCUUCCUGUGGGUUCUUGGUCUCGCUGACUUAAAAAUGAAGCUGCAGACCCUCGCGGUGAGUGUUACAGUUCUUAAAGAUGGUGUGUCUAGAGUUUGUUCCUUCAGAUAUUCAAAUGUGUCCGACGUUUCUUCCUUCUGGUGGGUUCACGGUCUCUCUGACGUCAGGAAUGAAGCCGCAGACCUUCACAGUGAGUGUUACAGCUCUUAAAGGUGGCACAUCCGGAGUUGUUUGUUUCUCCGGGUGGGUUCGUGGUCUCGCUGACUUCAGGAGUGAAGCCGCAGGUCUUGGCAGUAUUACAGCUCAUAAAGGUAGUGCAGACCCAAAAAGUGAGCAGCAGCAAGAUUUAUUGUGAAGAGCAAAAGAACAAACCUUCCACAGCACAGAAGUCGACCCGAGUGGGUUGCCACAGCUGGCCAGGGGUGGCCAGCUUUUAUUCCCUUAUUUGGCCCCACCCACAUCUUGCUGAUUGGUCCAUUUUACAGAGCGCUGAUUGGUCCAUUUUUACAGAGCACUGAUUGAUGUGUUUACAAUCCUUUAGCUAGACAGAAAAGUUCUGCAAGUCCCCACCUGACCCAGAAGCCCAUCCGGCUUCACCUCUCACUACUACUGGGGUCUUUCUGCCCUCCCCAGCCACUUAAACAGGAAGAAAGCUCAAUGCUUUAUUGCUUCAUGGGUGGUCUGUGGCAGGCUGGAGGGCUCACUAUGCUUGCAAGAUGUCUUCAUCUUGUUUUCAAUAGGCUAAGCUCAGAGGAGAAAACAAGAUUGGCAGAGCAAUAGAAGAGAACCAGGACUUGGAAGAAGCAGGAGGCAGAGAGGGGGUGACACCUCAAAGAAAGAAUUGGCAAAAAUGGGAUCAUAAGGACAGUGGUUCCUGGCUUCUCCCAAGAUUCUAUAUUCAAAAAGGAACCUGAACUUGAGAGCAGAGGGUGGGAAGGACAAUGGCUCCACCAGCAGUUACUUGGCUGAGCAGAUGGUAAUGACCAGGGGCCACCAUCAGCGCAUUGGCUCAUCAUGUGGGCUCAGAACCUUAAAAAGACCCUGAGGGACUUUAUGUCCCAAAUAGAGUAUGUGAGAUGGAAUUACAAACUACUGAGAGGCUAAUUUAUUCACAAAUAAAGAAAUGUGCUAUUUCGCAU
This 2263-nucleotide long non-coding RNA is filed under the name Homo sapiens (human). RNAcentral describes it as "HSALNT0299039". Lineage: Eukaryota; Metazoa; Chordata; Mammalia; Primates; Hominidae. The record is from RNAcentral.